CUACAGUGAUGAUAACAUUUUUGUUAACAGCAGUUCACUUACCGAGUAUUGAGACUUCGGGUCUGAGUGA
Artibeus jamaicensis (Jamaican fruit-eating bat) is the source of this 70-nucleotide small nucleolar RNA. RefSeq annotates it as small nucleolar RNA SNORD56. Lineage: Eukaryota; Metazoa; Chordata; Mammalia; Chiroptera; Phyllostomidae. The record is from RefSeq and is a predicted model, not a curated record. The transcript has a single exon.